This 21-nucleotide non-coding RNA is filed under the name Caenorhabditis elegans. Lineage: Eukaryota; Metazoa; Nematoda; Chromadorea; Rhabditida; Rhabditidae. The record is from RNAcentral.
UGGAUCUUUUGAAAUCGUACA